RNAcentral lists this long non-coding RNA (257 nucleotides) under Phoenix dactylifera (date palm). RNAcentral describes it as "long non-coding RNA (PDAC_LNC014276)". Lineage: Eukaryota; Viridiplantae; Streptophyta; Magnoliopsida; Arecales; Arecaceae. The record is from RNAcentral.
GAUUUGUCCCUGUCUGUAAUAAUUGGGCACGAUUUGGCCCAUUUAUGGCGUAGUGGAGAACGGGGCCGAAUCAGACCGGAACCAGGAAGUUGUCACGGUCGAUCGGACCUGUUGGAGUGGUUGAACCGCCGGCCGUGGCGGGCCUGGGAUCUGUGAAUGGUAAGUGCAUUUAUUACCGAAUGAACCGGCGGUCAGGUAGAGCCAUGCGCUCUGAUGGUUCAGUGAUCCGGAGAUCGUCUUGGGCCGUGUUCAUUAAA